Molecule: ribosomal RNA, 381 nt
Filed under: uncultured eukaryote
Lineage: Eukaryota
Description: SSU rRNA
Rfam family: Eukaryotic small subunit ribosomal RNA
Source: RNAcentral
AGCUCCAAUAGCGUAUAUUAAAGCUGUUGCAGUUAAAAAGCUCGUAGUUGGAUCUCGGGUCCAGGCCCGCGGUGCGCCUCGCGGCGUCACUGCUCGUCCUGACCUACCUCCCGGCGUGUCCCUUGAUGCUCUUAGCUGAGUGUCUCGGGCGGCCGGAAAGUUUACUUUGAAAAAAUUAGAGUGUUCAAAGCAGGCGACUCGCUUGAAUAAUGGUGCAUGGAAUAAUGGAAUAGGACCUCGGUUCUAUUUUGUUGGUUUUCGGAACUGGAGGUAAUGAUUAAGAGGGACGGACGGGGGCAUUCGUAUUACGGUGUUAGAGGUGAAAUUCUUGGAUCGCCGUAAGACGAACUACAGCGAAAGCAUUUGCCAAGAAUGUUUUCA